RNAcentral lists this ribosomal RNA (492 nucleotides) under uncultured bacterium. Its description in RNAcentral is "partial 16S ribosomal RNA". It matches the Rfam family "Bacterial small subunit ribosomal RNA", at positions 29 to 507 of the family's 1533-position model. The record is from RNAcentral.
AUUGAACGCUGGCGGCAUGCUUUACACAUGCAAGUCGAACGGUAACAGGCCUUCGGGUGCUGACGAGUGGCGAACGGGUGCGUAAUGCAUCGGAACGUACCCAGAGGUGGGGGAUAACGCAGCGAAAGCUGUGCUAAUACCGCAUGUGAUCUGAGGAUGAAAGCGGGGGACCGAGCAGCAAUGUUUGGCCUCGCGCCUUUGGAGCGGCCGAUGUCGGAUUAGCUAGUUGGUGGGGUAAAGGCCUACCAAGGCGACGAUCCGUAGCUGGUCUGAGAGGACGACCAGCCACACUGGGACUGAGACACGGCCCAGACUCCUACGGGAGGCAGCAGUGGGGAAUUUUGGACAAUGGGCGCAAGCCUGAUCCAGCAAUGCCGCGUGCGGGAAGAAGGCCUUCGGGUUGUAAGCCGCUUUUGGCAGGAACGAAACGGUGUCCGCUAAUACCGGGCGCUAAUGACGGUACCUGCAGAAUAAGCACCGGCUAACUACGUA